Molecule: long non-coding RNA, 1184 nt
Filed under: Vulpes vulpes (red fox)
Lineage: Eukaryota; Metazoa; Chordata; Mammalia; Carnivora; Canidae
Description: lncRNA (ENSVVUG00000013153.1)
Source: RNAcentral
GCCAAGGGUUGGGUGACAGCCCUAUGCACCGCCCGGUCAUCAGCAGGUGUUGGGAAUGGGAGCCGCGGUGGGCCCAGGGGAGGCCCGCUCAGGGGCCCCAGGGCUGUGCCUCCAGCCCGCACACGCGGUGGGCGCUGGGCCGCGCUCCUCCAGGCCCGCGGCAGAGACGGGGGGUGCCGGAGGGUGCCGGGAGCCCUGAAGCCUCCACCAUAAACACACGGACAGGGCAGCCCAAGGCCUGCAGGAGGACCGGGAGAAACAAAUGCACGCACUGUUUUUUGCAAGUUAUGAGGGACCCAGUGGGCAAAGAAUGCGAAGAAUGACACUUCAGAACAGGUCUGAAAAUGACAUUUGGACAUUUCAGAGCCACGUCUGCAAACGCGUGGAAAUAGGGAGCACCCUGGCGUGUUCAGGGCACUGUAAAAAAAACUGCUUUCUCGAAACCACUCCCAAAUGUUUAAUUUGUCAUGAGAGUUCAAAUAGGAUAUUCAGGCCAUUUUAUCAAAUAUAAUAAAAUCUCACACUCACCAAGGAUGGCCAUAAAGCAACUGGCAGUUUGCCCCUCUCCGUUCAGCAUCCCCACCUGGCACUCGGGAAGGGUCAGCUCUCUUCUUGGACGUGGGGAGUCAGAAAUCCAAGAGACUCUAAGGGUCAUGUGGAGGACGAAUAUCCAGCCAGAUGAAGGACAUCACGAGUGGAUGCCCUGCAGGAGGAGAGAGGAUGGCGGAACCAAGGAACUGAAGACCCUGAAUGAGGCUCAGGCCGAGACAGCGAAGGGGAGGAAGUGAUGAGCGACCCAGCUGGAGGGGUGAGCAGAGCCCAACCAUAAACAGCUACAUUAAGACGUUUGGGUGAAGGCACCACAACACUCAAGCUAAUGAAGCUUCAGCUUCAAGGUCCCCACUUGCACAAAACCCUCCCAGGGCCCUGGGAGGGGCACUAGCAAGGGGUUCCUACAAUCAUGUAUUUUCAAAUAUUUUGCGAAAGAUACUUGCACUCUCAUUUUUACAGACAGCUCCCUAUUCUACUCUUUCCUGCCAUCAAGCCUCACGACUGGAAUGACUAGAGUAUUUGGGGAUCUAGCAAGUUGACUAGAUAUUUAGUUUGGGUUUGGUGUGGGCCUUUAUUCCCAAAUAUGGGAAACUUAUUGCAAACCAUCUCAGCAUACGAAAGGCUUUUUUCUU